Molecule: ribosomal RNA, 1470 nt
Filed under: human gut metagenome
Description: bacterial LSU rRNA
Rfam family: Bacterial large subunit ribosomal RNA
Source: RNAcentral
UGUGAAGGAAAGGUGAAAAGAACCCCGGGAGGGGAGUGAAAUAGAACCUGAAACCGCAUACAUACAAACAGUAGGAGCCCCUGCAGUGGGGUGACUGCGUACCUUUUGCAUAAUGGGUCAGCGACUUACGUUUUGUGGCGAGCUUAACCGAGUAGGGGAGGCGUAGCGAAAGCGAGUUCGAAUAGAGCGAGAAGUCUCAAGGCGUAGACCCGAAACCAGAUGAGCUAUCCAUGGCCAGGUUGAAGGUGUGGUAACACACACUGGAGGACCGAACCGACUAGUGUUGCAAAAUUAGCGGAUGAGCUGUGGAUAGGGGUGAAAGGCUUAACAAAUCUGGAGAUAGCUGGUUCUCCCCGAAAACUAUUGAGGUAGUGCCUCGUGUAUUGCUCCAGGGGGUAGAGCACUGUUAUGGCUAGGGGGACAUGGCGUCUUACCAAACCAUGGCAAACUCCGAAUACUUGGAAGUGUGAGCGCGGGAGACAGAGCACCGGGUGCUAACGUCCGGACUCAAAAGGGAAACAACCCAGACCGCCGGCUAAGGUCCCUAAUAUUUGCUAAGUGGAAAACGAAGUGGAAAGGCUAAGACAGUCAGGAAGUUGGCUUAGAAGCAGCCAUCCUUUAAAGAAAGCGUAAUAGCUCACUGAUCGAGUCUUUCUGCGCGGAAGAUGUAACGGGGCUAAGUCAAUAACCGAAAGCGCGGAUUUGUACGAAAGUACAAGUGGUAGGGGAGCGUUCUGUAAGCCUGCGAAGGUGGUUCGAGAGGACUGCUGGAGGUAUCAGAAGUGCGAAUGCUGACAUGAGUAACGUUAAAGCGGGUGAAAAGCCCGCUCGCCGUAAGCCCAAGGUUUCCUGCUCUACGUUCAUCGGAGCAGGGUGAGUCGGCCCCUAAGGCCAGGCUGAGAAGCGUAGUCGAUGGGAACAAGGUUAAUAUUCCUAGACCAUUGUCAAGUAUGCGAUGGGGGGACGGAGUGUGAAAGAUGAUCCGGGUGUUGGAUAUCCCGGUUUGUGAGAGUAGAAGGAAGGCAGGCAAAUCCGCCUUCGGAUCUUCGAGUCAAAACAUCGAUUCUCCACGUGAGAAGAAGUCAUCGGAAGUGCUUCCAAGAAAAGCCUCUAAGUGGUAGCUUGACAAGACCGUACCGCAAACCGACACUGGUGGGCGAGUUGAAUAUACUAAGGCGCUUGAGAGAACUCGGGAGAAGGAACUCGGCAAAUUGACACCGUAACUUCGGGAGAAGGUGUGCCUUUGUAGCGUGAGAGAAGAAACAUCUUAAGCGUGAAGAGGCCUCAGAGAAUAGGUGGCUGCAACUGUUUACUAAAAACAUAGCACUCUGCAAAGAUGAAAGUCGACGUAUAGGGUGUGAUGCCUGCCCGGUGCUGGAAGAUUAAGUGAUGGGGUGAGAGCUCCUGAUCGAAGUCCCAGUAAACGGCGGCCGUAACUAUAACGGUCCUAAGGUAGCGAAAUUCCUUGUC